Long non-coding RNA from Saccostrea cuccullata (small rock oyster), 526 nucleotides. RefSeq lists it as uncharacterized. The record is from RefSeq and is a predicted model, not a curated record. NCBI's taxonomy places the organism in Eukaryota, Metazoa, Mollusca, Bivalvia, Ostreida, Ostreidae. The transcript has 4 exons.
AUCAAGCUGGAAGGAUGUUAUACUGCAGAUGAGAAAUGCUUGAGACAAAAUAAGGUGACACGUUUACCAUCUACAACAUCACAGUCAUCAGAUCCCAACUCUUCCUCAGAUGACGUACUCAUUGGUGUAAUUAUCCCUGUAAUUAUCAUCUUCAUCGCCGUCGUUAUAGCUACAUUAGUUGCCCGGAAAUUUAGAGUUUCAAAAUGUUCUGAAAGGUACCAUGAAGAUGAAGAAAUUGGGCUUUUGGAAACUGCCCCAACUCUUAAGAUACAAAUAGCUGGAGAAAACAUUGUGUUGAGAUGUAUACUUCCCAAAGACAAGAGAAGACGUCCCUCAAAUAUUAUUUGGUCUAAAGAUAAAAAGGAAAUAGAAAUAAAAGACACAAGAGGAAAAUUCAGAUUUGCUGAAGAUAAACUUAACCUUGUUAUUGAAAAUGCAGGUCAUUUAGAUAUUGGAGAGUACGCCUGCUGUCUCCAAUAUGACAACCACUGCGAUAGGGUUGUUAAAUGCAGUCUAGGUAAUUUCU